GACGAACGCUUGCGGCGUGCUUAACACAUGCAAGUCGAACGGAAAGGCCCUGCUUUUGUGGGGUGCUCGAGUGGCGAACGGGUGAGUAACACGUGAGUAACCUGCCCUUGACUUUGGGAUAACUUCAGGAAACUGGGGCUAAUACCGGAUAGGAGCUCCUGCUGCAUGGUGGGGGUUGGAAAGUUUCGGCGGUUGGGGAUGGACUCGCGGCUUAUCAGCUUGUUGGUGGGGUAGUGGCUUACCAAGGCUUUGACGGGUAGCCGGCCUGAGAGGGUGACCGGCCACAUUGGGACUGAGAUACGGCCCAGACUCCUACGGGAGGCAGCAGUGGGGAAUAUUGCACAAUGGGCGGAAGCCUGAUGCAGCAACGCCGCGUGCGGGAUGACGGCCUUCGGGUUGUAAACUGCUUUCGCCUGUGACGAAGCGUGAGUGACGGUAAUGGGUAAAGAAGCACCGGCUAACUACGUGCCAGCAGCCGCGGUGAUACGUAGGGUGCGAGCGUUGUCCGGAUUUAUUGGGCGUAAAGGGCUCGUAGGUGGUUGAUCGCGUCGGAAGUGUAAUCUUGGGGCUUAACCCUGAGCGUGCUUUCGAUACGGGUUGACUUGAGGAAGGUAGGGGAGAAUGGAAUUCCUGGUGGAGCGGUGGAAUGCGCAGAUAUCAGGAGGAACACCAGUGGCGAAGGCGGUUCUCUGGGCCUUUCCUGACGCUGAGGAGCGAAAGCGUGGGGAGCGAACAGGCUUAGAUACCCUGGUAGUCCACGCUGUAAACGGUGGGUACUAGGUGUGGGGUCCAUUCCACGGGUUCCGUGCCGUAGCUAACGCUUUAAGUACCCCGCCUGGGGAGUACGGCCGCAAGGCUAAAACUCAAAGGAAUUGACGGGGCCCCGCACAAGCGGCGGAGCAUGCGGAUUAAUUCGAUGCAACGCGUAGAACCUUACCUGGGUUUGACAUGGAUCGGGAGUGCUCAGAGAUGGGUGUGCCUCUUUUGGGGUCGGUUCACAGGUGGUGCAUGGCUGUCGUCAGCUCGUGUCGUGAGAUGUUGGGUUAAGUCCCGCAACGAGCGCAACCCUUGUUCACUGUUGCCAGCACGUUAUGGUGGGGACUCAGUGGAGACCGCCGGGGUCAACUCGGAGGAAGGUGGGGAUGACGUCAAGUCAUCAUGCCCCUUAUGUCCAGGGCUUCACGCAUGCUACAAUGGCUGGUACAGAGAGUGGCGAGCCUGUGAGGGUGAGCGAAUCUCGGAAAGCCGGUCUCAGUUCGGAUUGGGGUCUGCAACUCGACCUCAUGAAGUCGGAGUCGCUAGUAAUCGCAGAUCAGCAACGCUGCGGUGAAUACGUUCCCGGGGCU
This 1346-nucleotide ribosomal RNA is filed under the name uncultured bacterium. RNAcentral's name for it is "partial 16S ribosomal RNA". It matches the Rfam family "Bacterial small subunit ribosomal RNA", at positions 28 to 1381 of the family's 1533-position model. The record is from RNAcentral.